ACGGGAGGCAGCAGUGGGGAAUAUUGCACAAUGGGGGAAACCCUGAUGCAGCAACGCCGCGUGAAGGAAGACGGUCUUCGGAUUGUAAACUUUUGUUCUUAGUGAAGAUAAUGACGGUAGCUAAGGAGAAAGCCACGGCUAACUACGUGCCAGCAGCCGCGGUAAUACGUAGGUGGCAAGCGUUGUCCGGAAUUACUGGGUGUAAAGGGAGCGCAGGCGGGAAAUCAAGUUGGAUGUGAAAUGUCGGGGCUUAACCCCGGAACUGCAUCCAAAACUGAUUUUCUUGAGUGAAGUAGAGGUAGGCGGAAUUCCGAGUGUAGCGGUGAAAUGCGUAGAUAUUCGGAGGAACACCAGUGGCGAAGGCGGCCUACUGGGCCUUAACUGACGCUGAGGCUCGAAAGUGUGGGGAGCAAACAGGAUUAGAUACCCUGGUA
RNAcentral lists this ribosomal RNA (434 nucleotides) under uncultured Oscillospiraceae bacterium. Its description in RNAcentral is "bacterial SSU rRNA". It matches the Rfam family "Bacterial small subunit ribosomal RNA", at positions 341 to 792 of the family's 1533-position model. The record is from RNAcentral. Lineage: Bacteria; Bacillati; Bacillota; Clostridia; Eubacteriales; Oscillospiraceae.